This 1316-nucleotide long non-coding RNA is filed under the name Macaca fascicularis (crab-eating macaque). Its description in RNAcentral is "lncRNA (ENSMFAG00000052853.1)". Lineage: Eukaryota; Metazoa; Chordata; Mammalia; Primates; Cercopithecidae. The record is from RNAcentral.
GGACUCUGCCUACAGUCACCGUGGAGCAUCAGGGAGGCACCGUGUGCUCUGUAGCCCCAGCCAGACGUGUGCCCACAUCAUCCCCUGUAGCUGCGUUACAGUUGGGGACCUGAGCCCAGGGCAGGGAAGAUGCUGAAGUGAUGAGCUUUCCAAAGGGCCAGGUCUCUGGAGUCGAUUUAUCUUCUGUGGAAGUUGCCAAAGCCCAGGUAUCCCACGGUGGCCUCAGAGGGCUGGAUGCCCUCCCGCAGCGGUGGUGCCGGGGAAGGCUCGGACCCUACGCUGGACUCAGGACUGUCCUUGUCGGCUGGUGGGGGCUUGGGCAGGGCAUCCCUCGGUUCCUCUUUGCCUUCAUCAGGAGAGGGAGGAGGCAGAGGAGGCAGGGUCACCCUGAGAUCUGGAGGCACUGGCCCUCCUCUUAGAAGGCCUUCCCAUCUCCGGGGAAGUCAGGGGCUCAUGCCCAGGUAGGGGUGAUGGUGGUCAACGCCCUGACUCUAUAGGAAGAGGCACUUCUGCACCAGAGCUGCUUCUAGAGCAGGGGCACCUGGGGAGGGCAUCUUGCCCCAGCAUCUGUGGGGCCCCCGCAGGCACCUCAGGAUACCUUAGGGCCUGUUUCCCCGCUUUGUCGCCAUUCAGUCCGUCGGUCCGUCCAUCUGCAAAGCUGAGCUUCUGCUCUGAUGCAGGCCUGCGGUGGCAAGGAUGACACAGGCCUGCACUUGCUCUCAAGGUCUAGCCCUGUUUGGGGUUAGUACAGGCCGUCCAGAGAGGGCAAGGAGGGCAAGACCCAGGGCGCCUGGCCUCAGCCCGGUGCAUGGAUGGUCCUGUCGAGCCGAGGAGGAGACCCUUACUCUCUGUCUGGGCUCUCCUGCCCACAGGGUCCACAUGGAAGCCGUCCUGCCCUCACUCGACCUCCUGCUGGCAGGGCCAGAGGUUCAGGGACCGGGUUCCCUAGAGCUGGAGGUGGGAGCCCCCCAGAUGGUGGCAGCCCCCCAGAUGGUGGCAGCAGCAUGGACCACGAAUCGCUGAGGUUUUCCUUUUCCAAGCAGCGCGUUUCCCUAAAUUGUCUUUGACUGCGUGCAUGGGUAAUGAAAGUUUAUGCCCUUGUUAGAAGGACAGGCGGCCAGUUCCAGUUAGAACUGGGGCUGUCUCCCUGCCAGCCCGCUCAGCCCCCUCCCCAGCAGGAGAGAGGCAGCGUGAGCACAAGAGUGCAAGAGUGUGUGUGUGUGCGUGCGCACGUGUGUGUGCGCACGCACACAACCUCCCCCUCCCUGGCAGAUAAGAAGGCUGUUAGGCGAAGGGAGAGGGGACGAAAAAAAAAA